UACGUAGGGGCUAGCGUUAUCCGGAAUUACUGGGCGUAAAGAGCUCGUAGGUGGUUUGUCACGUCGUCUGUGAAAUUCCGGGGCUUAACCUCGGGCGUGCAGGCGAUACGGGCAAUACUUGAGUGCUGUAGGGGAGACUGGAAUUCCUGGUGUAGCGGUGAAAUGCGCAGAUAUCAGGAGGAACACCGAUGGCGAAGGCAGGUCUCUGGGCAUUUACUGACGCUGAGGAGCGAAAGCAUGGGGAGCGAACAGGAUUAGAUACCCCCGUA
This 269-nucleotide ribosomal RNA is filed under the name uncultured prokaryote. Its description in RNAcentral is "partial 16S ribosomal RNA". It matches the Rfam family "Bacterial small subunit ribosomal RNA", at positions 524 to 792 of the family's 1533-position model. The record is from RNAcentral.